This 51-nucleotide ribosomal RNA is filed under the name Leccinum quercinum. Its description in RNAcentral is "partial 18S ribosomal RNA". The record is from RNAcentral. Lineage: Eukaryota; Fungi; Basidiomycota; Agaricomycetes; Boletales; Boletaceae.
UCAUUAAUGAAUUUGGAGGCUGUCGCUGGCUAGGUGAUUCUAGCAUGUGCA